UACGAAGGUGGCUAGCGUUGUUCGGAAUUACUGGGCGUAAAGGGCGCGUAGGCGGUCUUGUAAGUCAGAUGUGAAAGCCCCGGGCUCAACCCGGGAAUAGCAUUUGAUACUGCGAGGCUUGAGUCCGGGAGAGGAUGGCGGAAUUCCCAGUGUAGAGGUGAAAUUCGUAGAUAUUGGGAAGAACACCGGUGGCGAAGGCGGCCAUCUGGACCGGUACUGACGCUGAGGCGCGAAAGCCAGGGGAGCAAACGGG
This 253-nucleotide ribosomal RNA is filed under the name uncultured bacterium. RNAcentral describes it as "partial 16S ribosomal RNA". It matches the Rfam family "Bacterial small subunit ribosomal RNA", at positions 524 to 776 of the family's 1533-position model. The record is from RNAcentral.